Molecule: ribosomal RNA, 253 nt
Filed under: uncultured bacterium
Lineage: Bacteria
Description: partial 16S ribosomal RNA
Rfam family: Bacterial small subunit ribosomal RNA
Source: RNAcentral
UACGUAGGGUGCAAGCGUUGUCCGGAAUUAUUGGGCGUAAAGAGCUCGUAGGCGGUCUGUCGCGUCGGCUGUGAAAUCCCGAGGCUCAACCUCGGGUCUGCAGUCGAUACGGGCAAACUAGAGUAUUGCAGGGGAGACUGGAAUUCCUGGUGUAGCGGUGAAAUGCGCAGAUAUCAGGAGGAACACCGGUGGGGAAGGCGGCAUCCUGGACCAAUACUGACGCUGAGGAGCGAAAGCCAGGGGAGCAAACGGG